Long non-coding RNA from Homo sapiens (human), 847 nucleotides. RefSeq lists it as uncharacterized. The transcript is spliced from 3 exons. The record is from RefSeq and is a predicted model, not a curated record. NCBI's taxonomy places the organism in Eukaryota, Metazoa, Chordata, Mammalia, Primates, Hominidae.
UGACAGAAAUCUUUAUUGCAAACUGGGGGACACCAUUAGCUACAGUGGCCUCCUGGGAUCACCAUUUGCAAUAUAAGCCCAGUGACUUAAAGGAGAGAGUGGAGAGGAAUCAUGGUAAGGCUUGUAACUCCAAGGAUGAAGAACAACCAGGGCUUGGGGAUGGGUGAAGAAUCUUCUGAAGAAGUGACCUGGCUACUCUUAUAAAGCCUUCCAGAAUGCAGAGGGGCCCUGGGAAGAGCUGGAGGAGAGAAGAGGAAGAAGGAUGGGAGACGGAAGAUUCUCAGUUGGAAAAAAAAACAGCAGCAAGAAACUUUGUUUACCUUGUUGGUCAGAUUAAAUUUCUGCCACCAAAAGAAAUCGAGAUUGAAAAGCUAAGUUUAAUUAUGGAGAAAAUAAAGUUACAUUUUUUUUUGCACAACAAAGUCAUUGACUAUGAAAUUUAUAAGCAUCAUAUGAAACAGACAAUCUUAUGAAACUUACCAAGGAUGUUUCCAGCAACCCCUUGUUUAGGGAACAGAGUAAAGGGGAGAAAAGGUAGCAUUUUCAAAUCUCAAGAAAGUGUUUUAUGUCAGAAUUCAAUUUGUCCCAGAGCACAGCUGUCAAGAGCUUUGUAAAUCUAGGCCUCUAGGAGGAGAGGGCUAAAGCACUUUCAGGAUAAAGGCUAGAAGCCUAAGGCCCUGAUCAUUUGGGCAAUCCUUGUUAUUGCAUUUGUUGUUCCAUUCUCUGACACUUCUAAAAGGCUGUGGAAUCUCCAGAUGUGUUCAUAAAAUAGUGGUAGCAAUUAUUCAUUGCUUCUAGGAAAGGGAAAUGGAUAUGUUACCAACAAAGCCAGUCCCCAUACAAAUGG